GGUGGCUCAGUAGUAGGGUGCUUGCCUUGCAUGCAUGAGGCCCUGGGUUCAAUUCCUCAGCACCA
Molecule: transfer RNA, 65 nt
Filed under: Dipodomys ordii (Ord's kangaroo rat)
Lineage: Eukaryota; Metazoa; Chordata; Mammalia; Rodentia; Heteromyidae
Rfam family: tRNA
About the family: Transfer RNA (tRNA) molecules are approximately 80 nucleotides in length. Their secondary structure includes four short double-helical elements and three loops (D, anti-codon, and T loops).
Source: Rfam by way of RNAcentral